RNAcentral lists this transfer RNA (77 nucleotides) under hydrothermal vent metagenome. RNAcentral describes it as "tRNA-Pro-TGG". It matches the Rfam family "tRNA". From Rfam's summary of the family: Transfer RNA (tRNA) molecules are approximately 80 nucleotides in length. Their secondary structure includes four short double-helical elements and three loops (D, anti-codon, and T loops). The record is from RNAcentral.
CUGGGUGUAGCUCAGUUUGGUAGAGUAAUCCCCUUGGAAGGGAGAGGUCACAGGUUCAAAUCCUGUCAUCCAGACCA